This is a long non-coding RNA of Podarcis raffonei (Aeolian wall lizard), 313 nucleotides long. RefSeq lists it as uncharacterized. The transcript has 3 exons. The record is from RefSeq and is a predicted model, not a curated record. NCBI's taxonomy places the organism in Eukaryota, Metazoa, Chordata, Lepidosauria, Squamata, Lacertidae.
GUCCAGAAGACAGGGGUCCGAGGGUCAGGAAGCAGGGAGUCACAAAGUCAAGGGUCCGAGGGUCAAGAAGCAAGGAGUCACAAAGUCAAGGGUCCGUGGGUCGGGAAGCAAGGAGUCAAGGAGCCAAGGGUCCGAGGGUCGAGAAGCAAGGAGUCAAGAAGCCGAGGUCCGAGGAUCAGGAAGCAAGAAGCCAAACGCAGCAAGGCAGGAAACGUGUCGCUUUACCAAGCAGCCUCAUCUGUGCGGCCACGCCUUGCCUCUCCAGAACAAACUUAGGAAGGCCCCAGUCCUGCAAAGCCCUACUGGUCACAGG